CCCAAGCCCUUUGGAGGAGUCUAGAAAAUGGUUCCUGCUUUGAGUUCCUACCUUGGCUUUGCUUGAUGAUGGACCUCUAAGCCAGGUGAAUCCUUCUUCCUUUGCUUGAUGAUGGACCUCUAAGCCAGGUGAAUCCUUCUUCCUUUGCUUGAUGAUGGACCUCUAAGCCAAGUGAAUCCUUCUUCAUAAGUUGUUUUUAGUCAGUGUUUUUAUCCCAGCAACAGAGAAAGUAAACUGGAAUAGUCUGAAAUGCUUUUCUAGAGAUGUUUCAUAUUUUCUAAUUUAUAUAUUAUCUCAGGACUAUAUAUGACUUGAUUUGAAACUUGUGGGUUGAAUUUAAAGUCCUCAUUUUCUUUUCUCUGGGAGAUUUCUUUGACUAUAUCUUCUAAGUGCUUAUUAAAAUUGUAACAAUUCUA
Molecule: long non-coding RNA, 416 nt
Organism: Peromyscus leucopus (white-footed mouse)
Lineage: Eukaryota; Metazoa; Chordata; Mammalia; Rodentia; Cricetidae
Exons: 2
Source: RefSeq, a predicted model, not a curated record